Molecule: ribosomal RNA, 446 nt
Filed under: uncultured bacterium
Lineage: Bacteria
Description: partial 16S ribosomal RNA
Rfam family: Bacterial small subunit ribosomal RNA
Source: RNAcentral
CCUACGGGUGGCAGCAGUCGAGAAUCAUUCACAAUGGGGGAAACCCUGAUGGUGCGACGCCGCGUGGGGGAAUGAAGGUCAUCGGAUUGUAAACCCCUGUCAUGUGGGAGCAAAUUAAAAAGAUAGUACCACAAGAGGAAGAGACGGCUAACUCUGUGCCAGCAGCCGCGGGAAUACAGAGGUCUCAAGCGUUGUUCGUAAUCACUAGGCGUACAGCGUGCGAUGGCUGUUUCGUAAGUCGUGUGUGAAAGGCGCGGGCUCAACCCGCGGACGGCACAUGAUACUGCGAGACUAGAGUAAUGGAGGGGGAACCGGAAUUCUCGGUGUAGCAGUGAAAUGCGUAGAUAGCGAGAGGAACACUCGUGGCGAAGGCGGGUUCCUGGACAUUAACUGACGCUGAGGCACGAAGGCCAGGGGAGCGAAAGGGAUUAGAUACCCUAGUAGUC